GCACGCGGGGAAGUGUGCUGGAACACGAAGCAUUCUGGAAAGACAGUCCGUGCUGGGACAUCGAGCAGCUCGGACAGCACUUGACAGUAGCCGGCAAUAAAGCGAAGUUGUGCAAGGCUCCCUGCCUAUCAUAUUGACUAGUUUGUUCGCAGGCUCUAUGACCCACACUUUUACUGGCGCAGCCGACACGAUCAUCUAGGGCCAGCCUGAUCAAACUUUGCAGCCUACUGGUGUCACUUCUGUCUGCUGGGAAUUGAGGAGUAUCCCUGAAUGGUUCUAUACGCUGUGCUGCUACAGGAGUUCACCGGAUCAUCGCCGGGCACUGCGGAGGUUUCCAUGGUGGAGUAGUUGUCGAGAGCUGUCCUAACCUGCCCAGACAUGUCAUGAUGACGUCGCAGCUGACGUCACAGGAUGUCCGGAACUGCAAGAUGCUUUGCAGCCUACCUCUGUGCUCCGUCGCCCGGCGAUGGUCAGCGGCCGUUCCGUACCGCUUUCUUCAAGAUGGCGUCGUUGAUAUUCAACUAAGCUCCUUCUCUCCACUCUAUCUCUAUUUAUUUUAUUUUCUACCUAUUUUUUAUUUUUUAUAAGAUCAAGUAGCGGGAAACUCACAGUGGUCUGGACACAACUUAGAUGCUCCCCAAGUAGUGUAAUGACUCACUGAAUGAUCCUAAUUACUGUGGGGGGUCCCAAAUUGCUCUAAUUGCUAAUUAAUGGCGUCCAGAUGACUGUGUGAGUUUCCGGAUACUUGAGCUGAUCCAAUACUACUAUUAUCUGGCCCAAGGGUUAGAUUAUGCUGAUACUUGGAUGCAGGAGGCUUUAGGGAGGCUUGGCUAGGAGGCUUUAGGGACAACAUGACCCAGAAACGGAUCAAGGCAAAACUACGACACGUUUGGAGGAGGUUUAAAUGCUCAGCGUCUCAACUUUGGGAUAAAGACCACAGAAGGAGCGGGUAGCGAGCUGGCUGAAGUUCCGGAUUUAGCCGCGGCGCAGAAUAUGGACCCCUCGCUGGCUAAAGCACGUGAGGAUGAAGAACAAAGGCGGAAUGUAUCUAGAUAAGGGGCUUCUGUAUCACAAGGACAAAGUUUUGGGUAGGCCUGUGAGACAACUUGUCCUACCGCAGUGCACACGCAACGAGGUACUGCAGCUAGCUCACGACUCACCAUGGGGUGGUCACUUCGGCGCUCGUAAGACAACAGCUCGUAUUAAGUACAGUUUCUAUUGGCCUGGGUCGGAGACACACGUUAGGCAGAACUGUUUGAACUGUCAUGGAUGUCAGCUUAGAGCGGACAGACGCAAGACUCACAGAGUACCGAUUACUCCCUUAACAUGUCCGGAGAGGCAUUCCAGUGUGUCAAUUCGGAUAUCAUAGGGCCCAUUGAACCCCCUUCAGCUAGAGGACACAAGUAUGCUUUAUGCAUUAUAUAUUUACACACCAGAUGGCGGGAGCUGCCAAUCUCAUUUGCCAGCUGUAAGCUUUCUCCUACGCAGAAAAGGUGGAAAAUCCUGUGCAACGGAUGGGGCUGGUCUUCGUGUCAUACGUUAGAUGCCUCUGCCGGCAUGCUAACGAACUUGAGGUGCGAGGUGUAACGGUGACCGGGAAGCCCGAUCGCCAUCAGAUGAGACACAGCACGCGGGGAAGUGUGCUGGCACAGGAGCAUUCUUGAAAGAUAGUCCAUGCUGGGACAUCGAGUAGGUCGGACAGCCCUUGACAGUAGCCGGCAAUAAACCUAAGUUGUGCAAGGC
Ornithodoros turicata is the source of this 1743-nucleotide long non-coding RNA. RefSeq lists it as uncharacterized. The transcript is spliced from 2 exons. NCBI's taxonomy places the organism in Eukaryota, Metazoa, Arthropoda, Arachnida, Ixodida, Argasidae. The record is from RefSeq and is a predicted model, not a curated record.